CCCUAAUUUAGGGUUUCAAGUAACAUCUGAUUCUGUUUCUACUGAAUCUGUCUCCAUUAUUGAGAAAAAUGAACUAAUGAUAGAUGUAAUUAACGAUAAUGUCAAAUUAGAAUUAGAUGUUAAGCCUGAGAUGGUGCAGCAGUCGCCCAGCGGUGCCGUCCCUGAUGGUGGUGAAUCACAUCCAAUGGAUGUUGAAGAGCCACUUGACAAUAAUGAUGUGAAAAAUCACCUUGACACAAAAGAUGUUGAAGAGCCACUUGACAAAAAUGAUGUCAAAGAUCACCUUGACAUAAAAGAUGUUGAAGAACCUCAUGACAAAAAACCCCACCUAGAAGACACCGGUGGUAGCGAGGUAGAAAAUGUCGAUAGUCUCAAGAACAUUGAUAGUGGAGACAUAGAUCCACCUGAAAAACUAAGUUUAGAUAGGAGUUC
Molecule: long non-coding RNA, 432 nt
Filed under: Salvia miltiorrhiza (redroot sage)
Lineage: Eukaryota; Viridiplantae; Streptophyta; Magnoliopsida; Lamiales; Lamiaceae
Description: long non-coding RNA (SMIL_LNC008000)
Source: RNAcentral